AAACGUAUAGACAACAGGGAUGCCCUAGUAACGGCGAGUGAAGCGGCAACAGCUCAAAUUUGAAAUCUGGCUCUUUUAGAGUCCGAGUUGUAAUUUGCAGAGGGCGCUUUGGCUUUGGCAGCGGUCCAAGUUCCUUGGAACAGGACGUCACAGAGGGUGAGAAUCCCGUACGUGGUCGCUGGCUAUUGCCGUGUAAAGCCCCUUCGACGAGUCGAGUUGUUUGGGAAUGCAGCUCUAAAUGGGAGGUACAUUUCUUCUAAAGCUAAAUAUUGGCCAGAGACCGAUAGCGCACAAGUAGAGUGAUCGAAAGAUGAAAAGCACUUUGGAAAGAGAGUCAAACAGCACGUGAAAUUGUUAAAAGGGAAGCGCUUGCAGCCAGACUUGCUUGCAGUUGCUCAUCCGGGCUUUUGCCCGGUGCACUCUUCUGUAGGCAGGCCAGCAUCAGUUUGGGCGGUAGGAUAAAGGUCUCUGUCACGUACCUCCUUUCGGGGAGGCCUUAUAGGGGAGACGACAUACUACCAGCCUGGACUGAGGUCCGCGCAUCUGCUAGGAUGCUGGCGUAAUGGCUGUAAGCGGCCCGUCUUGAAACACGGACCAAGGAGUCUAACAUCUAUGCGAGUGUUUGGGUGUCAAGCCCGAGCGCGUAAUGAAAGUGAACGGAGGUGGGAACCCGCAAGGGUGCACCAUCGACCGAUCCUGAUGUCUUCGGAAGGAUUUGAGUAAGAGCAUGGCUGUUGGGACCCGAAAGAUGGUGAACUAUGCUUGAAUAGGGUGAAGCCAGAGGAAACUCUGGUGGAGGCUCGCAGCGGUUCUGACGUGCAAAUCGAUCGUCAAAUUUGGGCAUAGGGGCGAAAGACUAAUCGAACUAUCUAGUAGCUGGUUCCUGCGAGCCCCCUCCCCUUCGAAGAACCAAGGCUUCUAAAUUGGUUGCAUUAGGUCUUUGCCCCUAUGCCCAAUCUGACGAUCGAUUGCACGUAGGAGCGCUGCGAGCCUCCACAGAGUUUCCUCUGCUCAUCCUAGAUCAAGCUAAGCUAACAGUGUGUCGGGUCGACAGCAUGCUUUCCUCGAAUCAUCGAGACGUAGACGUGGAGCGCCUCUUCGUUCACUUCGUGACUCAUUACAGUAGGUUGAACCCACCUUCUAAGUUGAGCUUGAUGCGUUCCAGAGCGAGCUAACGUAGGCGCUUCGAAGUCUGUCUGCACAAUGAGCGUGAUAAGUCCCCCAAAGUCACGUA
Molecule: ribosomal RNA, 1234 nt
Filed under: Alternaria sp. 'sect. Ulocladioides'
Lineage: Eukaryota; Fungi; Ascomycota; Dothideomycetes; Pleosporales; Pleosporaceae
Description: partial large subunit ribosomal RNA
Rfam family: Eukaryotic large subunit ribosomal RNA
Source: RNAcentral